This 188-nucleotide small nuclear RNA is filed under the name Pygoscelis adeliae (Adelie penguin). RNAcentral describes it as "U2 spliceosomal RNA". It matches the Rfam family "U2 spliceosomal RNA". Rfam says of the family: U2 is a small nuclear RNA (snRNA) component of the spliceosome (involved in pre-mRNA splicing). Complementary binding between U2 snRNA (in an area lying towards the 5' end but 3' to hairpin I) and the branchpoint sequence (BPS) of the intron results the bulging out of an unpaired adenosine, on the BPS, which initiates a nucleophilic attack at the intronic 5' splice site, thus starting the first of two transesterification reactions that mediate splicing. Lineage: Eukaryota; Metazoa; Chordata; Aves; Sphenisciformes; Spheniscidae. The record is from Rfam by way of RNAcentral.
CACACUUACCAGCCGUUGGCUAAGAUCAAGUGCAUCAUCUUUUUUAUCACUUUAAUAUCUGAUACAUCCUCAGCUUGAAGUUUUUAUAUUAAAUGGAUUUGAAGGGCACGGGAAGGGGUAACUGCUUCCUCCAUCCACCCCAUGCAUCAACCCAAAACUGCAGUGCUUCCAGGUACCGUGGCCACAUC